Molecule: non-coding RNA, 2441 nt
Organism: Pelobates cultripes (western spadefoot toad)
Lineage: Eukaryota; Metazoa; Chordata; Amphibia; Anura; Pelobatidae
Source: the annotation of a GenBank genome assembly
CCCAUACAUCACAGUAAAGAAAAAAAACAUGUUGAAACAUAUUAAGUAUAUUUUAAGGCAGCCAAAACAAACUAUUCAUAUGUCUGAAAACCUCAAAAGAAAAUAAAAAAAACCUCCUAUAUACAAAAUUAAAAUAAAAUACAGCACUAAGCGUAUAAACUCACGGGCCUGUUUGUGUAUAAACCACUUAAUUUAUCAUUUGAGCUCAAUAAAGCACCACACAACAGUUUGAAAUUAACUACAAAAGAGAAACCAUUUUAUUAUGAUAUACUAAAACACAUAACCCCUUCACAUCUGAAAAAUAAAUCUAUCUUAGCAGCAUUAUUAUUGGCUAUAAAUUAUUUGGAGCAUGGUUAAUGUAUAUUUAGGGGGGGCAUGGGUUGUUUUUUUCUUAUUCCCCUAAUGUUUUAGUAGAGAAUCAAUAAUGUAGAAAUAUAGAUUUACCCAAUAUGUCUGACAAAAUGAUCAUAUAUAACAGCAUUUCGAAGCACAAUAAAUAAUUAAAUCCAAUAAGGCCAGAAAAGUGCACAAGAAAAGAGAUGGCUAUGUAUAAAUUAUGUCCUAGAAAUCUGCUUUCUCUGUGAUAUAUCACUUUUUGAUAAUUUUUCAUCAAGGACAUAUAUCUUGAGAAAAAUGUCUGGUUUAAGAUUUCUUUAAUGCUUUUUUAAGUAUAUUUGGAAUAAUUUGUUUUGGUUUAAAUAUACUUUAACAUAAAGAUAGGUUGUCACUAUUCUAUUGAAAUGGUUUAUGUGUAGUUCCAAUGCAUACACAAAAUAAUACAAUAAUAAUCUCCAUUAUUUGAUUUUUAUUUAAGUCAAGUCAUGGCUGACCAUUGCACAAUAAAUCUUUCCAAACUAGGUUUCCUACAAUCUCUAGCCAGCCUAAAGGCUCAUUGUACAGGAAUCUCAAGGGGUGACCGAGCAGGAUUAAAUAAAGCAACCCAGGUCGGACAGUUCUAGACCUUUCGCCUAAUAAUGUAUAGUAUCAUUAUUAUGAUGGGCAACGUGCUACGAAAUUGUUGCUAUAUGGCGAUGUAUAAAACGAGUUGAGUGUAAAUCGAAUAACAUUAAAAUGAUUCAUCUCGUACAACCUUCCUCUGUCCUCCAAACAUGCACACCACAACCUGGACUGAUACCACUUUAUGAAAGAAUCUUUUCUUUGUAUUAUCACAGUACGACCUACUCAUUAUUCAUGCACACGUUCUCAGUAUAUUAUUCAUUCUAUUGCUCCUUGCAGUGUGAGGACAGUCUGGACCUAUCAUUGGACUUAGAAUAUGCUUUGGGGUUACAUGCAUUAUAGAAGCUUCAUUUUCUUAUUAUAGACUCCAUUAAUGCAGUUUUGUACGGUGCUGAGUGCAAAAUUGGAAUUAAUAAGGAAUGGGCAGGCAUACAUGUUUUUUGGAGUGUUUUCAUAAUACCAAAAAAAAUUAAAUUAUUAGGUGUGGCUCAUGAAGAGGAGACGGCAAAAUAAAAAGACUGCAGAUCAGGUUUGAGGUAUAAACUGCCCAGUCUCCUUUUCACUGGUGGGGAUAGCUUUAUGCAUUAAAAAGCUUCCAUUGACACAGAGUACAAAAGUACACACGUGCUUGUAUUACAUUAAAAAUAGGGCUCUCAUGCAAGAAUAGGAAAACAUUAUAACACUAAUUCACUAUAUUUAGCCGUUUCUGUGAGCUUUAUUGUUAUUCCAACACCGAUAUUUUACUUUCAGGUUUGUACGAUGGCUGUGAACUUAUUUCUUCUUCUUUUUUUUUUUUUUAAUGACCUCUAAUUUUGUAUUACAAAGUCAAAAUGACAAGCUAAUUGAAGGAGCGAUGCAAAUGUUUAAUCAUUCUGAGUUAAAGUUAAAUCAACUACAAAUCUAGAUAAUAUUUCAAGAAUAUAAUUAAUAGUUUCUAUUUGAGAGAGGUAUCCAGUCUUUUCACUGAUGUUGAUCUAAAUUUCCCAAAAAUCUCUUCCAAACAGUUGUAAAAUUAAAGGAGCACUUUAGCAUUAGGAAUUCAUACCUGUAUUUCUAAUGCUAUAGUGCCCUAUCUGCAGAAUUGCGUUUAGUUCCCCCAUUCCUGUUUUUACUUACCUUUACUCCAGCGCCGAGAAUCCAUCUGUGGUGCCAGCCACUCCGCCAAUUGCAAAGUCAUUCAUCUUUCGAGCCGAUGGCCACUCUAAUGUCCUUCAAAGAGGAUUAUUGGAAACUGAUGUACAUACACACAGAGCACCAUGCUUGCAUCCAAAUUCUUUGAGUUCCAUGUUUUCAUAUGAGUUGCAACCUUACGUUCUACUCAGUCACUGCCACAGAAGCACCUCUAGUGACUGUCUGGAAGAUAAAACGGCAAUGAUUGCACUGGUACAGAUGACUUUUGUGGGUCCUUUACAUUAUCAUGUGUUUGUUCAGUCUCUCCCUUGGUAACAAAAGGUUAGUUGUACCUAAUGGAAAGUAUAGUUUGU